This 652-nucleotide ribosomal RNA is filed under the name uncultured Acidobacteriota bacterium. RNAcentral's name for it is "SSU rRNA". It matches the Rfam family "Bacterial small subunit ribosomal RNA", at positions 246 to 915 of the family's 1533-position model. Lineage: Bacteria; Pseudomonadati; Acidobacteriota. The record is from RNAcentral.
UAGUUGGCAGGGUAAGAGCCUACCAAGGCAGAGAUCGGUAGCCGGCCUGAGAGGGCACACGGCCACACUGGCACUGAAACACGGGCCAGACUCCUACGGGAGGCAGCAGUGGGGAAUCUUGCACAAUGGGGGAAACCCUGAUGCAGCGACGCCGCGUGAGCGAUGAAGCCCUUCGGGGUGUAAAGCUCUUUCGGCAGGGAAGAUGAUGACGGUACCUGCAGAAGCAGCUGCGGCUAACUACGUGCCAGCAGCCGCGGUAAUACGUAGGCAGCGAGCGUUGUUCGGAGUUACUGGGCGUAAAGGGUGUGUAGGCGGUUCUUUAAGUUUGGUGUGAAAUCUCCCGGCUUAACCGGGAGGGUGCGCCGAAUACUGAGGGACUUGGAGUGCGGGAGAGGAAAGUGGAAUUCCUGGUGUAGCGGUGAAAUGCGUAGAUAUCAGGAGGAACACCGGUGGUGUAGACGGCUUUCUGGACCGUAACUGACGCUGAGACACGAAAGCGUGGGUAGCAAACAGGAUUAGAUACCCUGGUAGUCCACGCCCUAAACGAUGCAUAUUUGGUGUGGGUCAUUCAGUUGAUCCGUGCCGGAGCUAACGCGUUAAAUAUGCCGCCUGGGGAGUACAGUCGCAAGGCUGAAACUCAAAGGAAUUGACG